UGGGAUAGAGGUGCGACUCUUUGAAGGAGGGGAGAAGGGGCAGAUCCCAAAAUACUCAAUCACUGACCUGGACAAAAACUAUUUCAUAUUGAAAAUGCAACUGAUGUGACGCAGUACACAGAGGAAAUCCUCAACUGUGGAUACACAGGCCCCAUCACAUUGGAGCAUCAAGACAGUAUUGUAAGAGCUGUUUUGCUACAUGCCACCACGAAGCGUAUACCAAUGCUUCAACAACUGCGAGAAGGCCUUGAACUCUACCAACUGCUGUCAGUUAUGCAAAAGAAACCCAAGGAAUGUCGUAAUCUUUUGGUGAUUGGGGAUGAUGACAAGGUUGAUUCACAUUACAUCAUCUCCAGCCUGGCUCCAGUGAUGAGUGAUACUGGAUCGCUAAAACACAAGACAGAGGGACAGAUACUGGACUUCUUUCAAGAUUUCCUUCUCGACCUGGAGGAUGGUGAUGCCAGUCAGACUGAGGAAGAAGACAAUGGAUCACCUCUCUCUGUUCCUCGAGUGAUGCAGUGGCUGACGGGGCAGGCUCACCGACACCUCCUGGUUUCAGAAAGGGAGACUUUUAAAAUCAAAGUUCUUUUUGAUCACACUUGUCUUGAACGCAUGCCAAAGCACACAGUGUGCUACCCUGUUGUGAGUGCAUGCAGCACCACAAUAACAUUUCCCACAGUCCAUCUGAAAGACAGCGAAGCGUUUAACUCCAACCUUGAAUUUGCAAUUCGACAUGGUUCCAGGUUUGAUAGGGUUUAACUUUUGUUUUACUAAAGCUGAUGUGUUUAGUCAGUUAAUUUUAGUUCGACCCUGAUCUUCUUAAACUAUUAGUAAUCAACACUUUUGCAAAAUGUGUCAUGUUGUCUGCUGGGUGUUCUGUUAUUUUAUUGCAACCAUGUAUUUUUUUCAUAAUAUUUGCUAACAUGGUCUUGCAUAUAGAAAGGUUCUGAGAUAUACUGUACAAUUAAUGGUAUACCACCAUUGACGACACUCCUUCUCUGUGAAACAAACAGAACAAUUUAACAUGACAUUAUCAUUUCAAUUGGCAACAUGCUCAAAAGCUGUUUUGUCUCAU
Fundulus heteroclitus (mummichog) is the source of this 1075-nucleotide long non-coding RNA. RefSeq lists it as uncharacterized. Lineage: Eukaryota; Metazoa; Chordata; Actinopteri; Cyprinodontiformes; Fundulidae. The transcript is spliced from 5 exons. The record is from RefSeq and is a predicted model, not a curated record.